AUUUUGCAGAGCUAGUGAUUAACGCAGACGGAAGAAAGGGUGGGAAAGGGAGGGAAAGUGAAAGAAAAAGGAAGGAAAAGGGAGUUCUGGUUGAUCAAGUCAAGUCACCUUUCUCUCUGCAGCAGAGUGUUCUGUUUUUAACCUUUUUUCGGCUCUUAGUUCAUUCAGAAACUACAUCUGAACAUUUUCAAGGAUUCCAAUUUUGGUAACUCAA
This 214-nucleotide unclassified non-coding RNA is filed under the name Hevea brasiliensis (rubber tree). The record is from RNAcentral. Lineage: Eukaryota; Viridiplantae; Streptophyta; Magnoliopsida; Malpighiales; Euphorbiaceae.